UACGGGGGGGGCAAGCGUUGUUCGGAAUUACUGGGCGUAAAGGGCUCGUAGGCGGCCAACUAAGUCCGACGUGAAAUCCCCAGGCUUAACCUGGGAACUGCGUCGGAUACUGGAUGGCUUGAAUUCGGGAGAGGGAUGCAGAAUUCCAGGUGUAGCGGUGAAAUGCGUAGAUAUCUGGAGGAACACCUGUGGCGAAGGCGGCCCCCUGGUUGGAUACUGACGCUGAUACGCGAAAGCGUGGGGAGCAAACAGG
RNAcentral lists this ribosomal RNA (253 nucleotides) under uncultured bacterium. Its description in RNAcentral is "partial 16S ribosomal RNA". It matches the Rfam family "Bacterial small subunit ribosomal RNA", at positions 524 to 776 of the family's 1533-position model. The record is from RNAcentral.